UACGUAGGGGGCAAGCGUUGUCCGGAAUCAUUGGGCGUAAAGAGCGUGUAGGCGGCCCGGUAAGUCUGUUGUGAAAGUCCAGGGCUCAACCCUGGAAAGCCGAUGGAUACUGCCGGGCUAGAGUUCGGAAGAGGCGAGUGGAAUUCCUGGUGUAGCGGUGGAAUGCGCAGAUAUCAGGAGGAACACCUACGGCGAAGGCAGCUUACUGGGCCGAUACUGACGCUGAGGAGCGAAAGCGUGGGGAGCGAACAGG
This 253-nucleotide ribosomal RNA is filed under the name uncultured bacterium. RNAcentral describes it as "partial 16S ribosomal RNA". It matches the Rfam family "Bacterial small subunit ribosomal RNA", at positions 524 to 776 of the family's 1533-position model. The record is from RNAcentral.